This 624-nucleotide ribosomal RNA is filed under the name Staphylococcus epidermidis. RNAcentral describes it as "bacterial SSU rRNA". It matches the Rfam family "Bacterial small subunit ribosomal RNA", at positions 1 to 596 of the family's 1533-position model. The record is from RNAcentral. Lineage: Bacteria; Bacillati; Bacillota; Bacilli; Caryophanales; Staphylococcaceae.
UUUUAUGAGAGUUUGAUCCUGGCUCAGGACGAACGCUGGCGGCGUGCCUAAUACAUGCAAGUCGAACGCUUCUUUUUCCACCGGAGCUUGCUCCACCGGAAAAAGAGGAGUGGCGAACGGGUGAGUAACACGUGGGUAACCUGCCCAUCAGAAGGGGAUAACACUUGGAAACAGGUGCUAAUACCGUAUAACAAUCGAAACCGCAUGGUUUUGAUUUGAAAGGCGCUUUCGGGUGUCGCUGAUGGAUGGACCCGCGGUGCAUUAGCUAGUUGGUGAGGUAACGGCUCACCAAGGCCACGAUGCGUAGCCGACCUGAGAGGGUGAUCGGCCACAUUGGGACUGAGACACGGCCCAAACUCCUACGGGAGGCAGCAGUAGGGAAUCUUCGGCAAUGGACGAAAGUCUGACCGAGCAACGCCGCGUGAGUGAAGAAGGUUUUCGGAUCGUAAAACUCUGUUGUUAGAGAAGAACAAGGAUGAGAGUAACUGUUCAUCCCUUGACGGUAUCUAACCAGAAAGCCACGGCUAACUACGUGCCAGCAGCCGCGGUAAUACGUAGGUGGCAAGCGUUGUCCGGAUUUAUUGGGCGUAAAGCGAGCGCAGGCGGUUUCUUAAGUCUGAUGUG